Molecule: long non-coding RNA, 684 nt
Filed under: Gossypium raimondii (Peruvian cotton)
Lineage: Eukaryota; Viridiplantae; Streptophyta; Magnoliopsida; Malvales; Malvaceae
Description: long non-coding RNA (GRAI_LNC005644)
Source: RNAcentral
GCACUCUCUCCACGGAAUAGUGAUUCAGCAUGAAAAAUUAGGUCUGAGUUUCAACUUUACCCUUCUCAUUUCUUUCUCACGUCUGAAGCAUCUUCUUAUUUUUUUCAUUCUUCUUCCCAUUUCCUUCCAACCUUCUCCCUCUUUUUCAUGCUUCUAUCCUGACCAACCCUUUGACAAACCCUAACAACCCUCAACAAGGCCUUCAAUUACGAAUUGUAUGAGGUGGAAACUUGAGAAGAGAAACAAUCGGAUUGGUUUGAUGUAAGCAGUCGUCCCUCAGGUAACUCUACUUCGAUUUUGAUUUCCUUUUAUAUUAUUGUUCGACCCUCUUCAAGAAGAUAAAACAUGUUAAAGGGUCUAAAAUGAAACAUGUCAAGGUUCUAAUCUUACUAUGAUACCCCCAAUGUUUUAGCCUUAUUUAUGUCUUUUAUGGGGCAUGUAGAUUUUGUAAGCAUAUGAUUUUCUUGGAUGCUUUGGUUCACUUUCAUCAAUCGUAUGUUUUUCUGUAGUCAUUUCCUUUCAAAGGCUUCUUUUGUCUUAUAAGGUAGUUUUGUGCCUUCAGGGCACCGAAUCAAAUUAGAAAGUGUUUGAGAUAUCGAUGUUGGUGGGAUAAAUGAUUCCAAUGGAUAAAGCUUGGGAUUAUUGCAAUCCGUUCUGUUCCAAUUCAAACAAGCAGAUAUCCAC